UCCCCUGUAGCUCAGUUGGUAGAGCGAGCGGCUGUUAACCGCUAGGUCCUUGGUUCGAGUCCAAGUGGGGGAGC
RNAcentral lists this transfer RNA (74 nucleotides) under Fuerstiella marisgermanici. RNAcentral describes it as "Fuerstia marisgermanicae tRNA-Asn". It matches the Rfam family "tRNA". From Rfam's summary of the family: Transfer RNA (tRNA) molecules are approximately 80 nucleotides in length. Their secondary structure includes four short double-helical elements and three loops (D, anti-codon, and T loops). Lineage: Bacteria; Pseudomonadati; Planctomycetota; Planctomycetia; Planctomycetales; Planctomycetaceae. The record is from RNAcentral.